Molecule: ribosomal RNA, 877 nt
Filed under: Bacillaceae bacterium ACEMC 21-1
Lineage: Bacteria; Bacillati; Bacillota; Bacilli; Caryophanales; Bacillaceae
Description: partial 16S ribosomal RNA
Source: RNAcentral
UCAAUUCCCUUUGAGUUUCAGUCUUGCGACCGUACUCCCCCAGGCGGAGUGCUUAAUGCGUUAGCUGCAGCACUAAGGGGCGGAAACCCCCUAACACUUAGCACUCAUCGUUUACGGCGUGGACUACCAGGGUAUCUAAUCCUGUUCGCUCCCCACGCUUUCGCUCCUCAGCGUCAGUUACAGACCAGAGAGUCGCCUUCGCCACUGGUGUUCCUCCACAUCUCUACGCAUUUCACCGCUACACGUGGAAUUCCACUCUCCUCUUCUGCACUCAAGUUUCCCAGUUUCCAAUGACCCUCCCCGGUUGAGCCGGGGGCUUUCACAUCAGACUUAAGAAACCGCCUGCGAGCCCUUUACGCCCAAUAAUUCCGGACAACGCUUGCCACCUACGUAUUACCGCGGCUGCUGGCACGUAGUUAGCCGUGGCUUUCUGGUUAGGUACCGUCAAGGUGCGAGCAGUUACUCUCGCACUUGUUCUUCCCUAACAACAGAGCUUUACGAUCCGAAAACCUUCAUCACUCACGCGGCGUUGCUCCGUCAGACUUUCGUCCAUUGCGGAAGAUUCCCUACUGCUGCCUCCCGUAGGAGUCUGGGCCGUGUCUCAGUCCCAGUGUGGCCGAUCACCCUCUCAGGUCGGCUACGCAUCGUCGCCUUGGUGAGCCAUUACCCCACCAACUAGCUAAUGCGCCGCGGGUCCAUCUGUAAGUGACAGCCGAAACCGUCUUUCAUCCUUGAACCAUGCGGUUCAAGGAACUAUCCGGUAUUAGCUCCGGUUUCCCGGAGUUAUCCCAGUCUUACAGGCAGGUUACCCACGUGUUACUCACCCGUCCGCCGCUAACAUCCGGGAGCAAGCUCCCUUCUGUCGCUCGACUGCAGU